GACGUAGGGGGCGAGCGUUGUCCGGAUUUAUUGGGCGUAAAGAGCUCGUAGGCGGCUCGUUGCGUCGGCUGUGAAAACCCGCAGCUCAACUGUGGGCUUGCAGCCGAUACGGGCGGGCUGGAGUUCGGUAGGGGAGACUGGAAUUCCUGGUGUAGCGGUGAAAUGCGCAGAUAUCAGGAGGAACACCGGUGGUGAAGGCGGGUCUCUGGGCCGAUACUGACGCUGAGGGGCGAAAGCGUGGGGAGCGAACAGG
This 253-nucleotide ribosomal RNA is filed under the name uncultured bacterium. RNAcentral's name for it is "partial 16S ribosomal RNA". It matches the Rfam family "Bacterial small subunit ribosomal RNA", at positions 524 to 776 of the family's 1533-position model. The record is from RNAcentral.